AUUUGACGUUAGCGACAGAAGAAGCACCGGCUAACUCCGUGCCAGCAGCCGCGGUAAUACGGGAGGGUGCGAGCGUUAAUCGGAAUUACUGGGCGUAAAGCGCAUGCAGGUGGUUUGUUAAGUCAGAUGUGAAAGCCCGGGGCUCAACCUCGGAAUUGCAUUUGAAACUGGCAAACUAGAGUACUGUAGAGGGGGGUAGGAAUUUCAGGUGUAGCGGUGAAAUGCGUAGAGAUCUGAAGGAAUACCGGUGGCGAAGGCGGCCCCCUCGGACAGAUACUGACACUCACGAUGCGAAAGCGUGGGGACGCAAACAGGAUUAGAUACCCUGGUAG
RNAcentral lists this ribosomal RNA (332 nucleotides) under uncultured bacterium. RNAcentral's name for it is "bacterial SSU rRNA". It matches the Rfam family "Bacterial small subunit ribosomal RNA", at positions 467 to 793 of the family's 1533-position model. The record is from RNAcentral.